Molecule: ribosomal RNA, 2539 nt
Filed under: Triticum aestivum (bread wheat)
Lineage: Eukaryota; Viridiplantae; Streptophyta; Magnoliopsida; Poales; Poaceae
Description: partial small subunit ribosomal RNA
Source: RNAcentral
UUUUGUUCUCGUUUUGGCAUUUACUCUAUCCACUUCCGUCGAAGAAAAAAAAAGAGCUCUAUCCAUUGCGCACCUCCUUCGGCUAGGUCGUGGGGCAAGCGGUUUCGGACUUUCGGAGGCGAACGACUGGAGUUUCCGGCGGCGAGCGGGCAGCAGGCCAGCAGCCAUGGGUUUCGACGGCCUACGCUGUGGCCUCGGUGUAGGGAACCACCGCGGGUGGCCUCGGCGGCGUGCGACGCUCCAGGUAGCCUUUGUUUUGUGCUUGGAGCCCCACCACCGCUCAGAUCUGUGAGGCAAGCUCAGCCAUGGCCCCUUCUUUAGCGGCGACUUGGCUUCCGACGACGGCGACAUGGAUGCGAACAGAGUCGCUUCCGACUCCUCAGCGUUAGUGCCUCUGGCCUAUACUACUACGUGUCUGUAUCCGUCCUGCCUGACCACCCGCACGGCGCCGUUGUCCUCAAGGACCACUCGCUGGCGGCCCAACCUCCAACUCCUCCCCGAACAAGAGUUCGGAGAUUCACAACGUAGGAAAGGAGGGGAGUUCUCAAAGCCCAGUUCUCAUUGAAAAACACCAAGAACAUCAUGGGAAUACGUGAGGUUUUUGCUCCUAAUUUUUUUAUUUGACUGCAAUGCCGUUACAUAGAUAGCUCUCACUUUCGGUUUCUCUGUGGAUUUAAAUUCUGAUCCUGUGAUGUUUUUCCUGGUGCUCAUAUUAACUCUGUCAUAACUGAUGUAAGUCAUUUUUUUCCAAAUAUAACUGAUGUAAGUCUUGGUGUUUUAGAAUCUCUCUUUAUGUAUGUUUGACACCAGUCAACUUUUUAUUGAGCCAUGAUGCCUUUUAUUUUGCCAAAUGUAAUUUUAGGUUCCUGUUGUGAUGAUCAGUUGCACUCAGUUACUCCUUUAUCAUAUUCUAAAGCUAAGAGUUUUGUGUAGUAUACAUGGCUAAAUGACUAACAAUUCAAUCUCAUUGACACUAGAAGGCCUCGUGGCUACAUGAACCUUUCCUUCUCGUUUUCUUCUGAAACUUGCUGCUUUGCAAUGUCAAUCACAACUUCCCAAGGCAGAUACAUGUUAUAUUAGAGGAUUGCAACAUCCCAUGGGCAUCAGCAACAGAAGCAGCAUAGAAUAGUGAGACAUUGUGGGAGGAGUAGGCGAUCGCGUGCGUUGCGGCCACGCGCCUGCCCGUGCACCGUGCACCUUCUGCCACCACGAGUUCCGACACUAUUGAGUUGAGCGGAACGAUAUGGAUGACGCAAGGAGAGGAAUAUAGAGCUGACAGUUGAUUUGGGAACAGGUGGCGGCGUCUCUAAAAACCAAUCUACAUGCUCUUUCGGCAGUAAGGCAUUGAUUUUAUUCAUCUUCAACUGAUUUUCCUAUCUUGCAGUGUUGUCCAUUUAAGUAUAAUUAUUUUAGUGCCCGACUUUUUACGACUGCCAUAGACAUGCAUUUACUUGGUUCUGCUUAAAAUUGAUUCGUCUGCAUGAUUUUAUUCAUGCUUGUUCAUAAAUUGCGUAUCCAGUAUGCCAUUGAUCAUUUUCAUUUUGUCAUCUCGACACUAGGCCAGAAGCUACAAGUGACUCAAUAGUUCCAAAAUAGACAAUUAUGUGUCUAUUUGGGCAGAACAUGGCCUGAUUCAGUGGGCGGCAUGGUCAUUCUUUUCUGAAUUGAAAUUAUUAUCAAAAGAAUUGACUAGAUCAUUUUGGUUGGAAUAAAAAAAGGACGAAUAUUUCUUCAUACUGUGGUUUUUUGUAGUCUUGCCGUUGCGGAAGCUGUAAUAAUUCUUCCUCUCUCUACAGUACAUGGAUAAUGUGUUCCUAAUUUUCUGGUAUUGUUUUAUGAGAUGUGGUGAGUGGGUCUAUCCUAACGAAUUAUUCUGCAGACAAUCAUCAUCAAUGACUUGUUGAUGUGCAAGUGACAAGGAAACCGAAGAAGUUUCCAUGGGCAGAUGCAGAACAAAGUGAUGCCACAUAAGAACUUCUAACUAAAGCUUUGCUUUUCUCCUUAUCCAUAUUUUUGCAUAUCCUAUUUGGAUGCUUCUUACAGAAUAUUGCUACCGUUUCAGAUAUCAACUAUUCACCAUUGGGACAAGAAAUGCAUAACUUCUGAAGUUUUAUCUCAAGUAAUUAAGCCUAGAUUAUGGCAUUUUGAAAGGAAUCAACAUGUCUAUCACCGAAGCAUUGUGCAACUGAAAUAGUUCAGUCUGCCUUGUGUAGUUUCUUGCACAGAUUGACUCCAGCUUUUUGGCAAAUGAGGACACGCUGGUACUACAGAUCGACUCCAUCUUAUGAGAAGUGUGCAUGGCAGCAUCUAUUUUAGAUGCCCUCGAGUCCCUAGCUUUGGAAUCACCGGGACGUGCCUUUUAUGUCAGGAUUCCUAUUUUAUGAUGGCGCCUAGAAUUCUUCUGUGACAUAAUGUAUUUGGCACCUAGAAUUCUUAUCUGGCAUAAUGUAUUUCACAUUCAGUUCAUUUUUUUGAGUUGGAUUAUUUUACAUUCAAAUUGUUAGACCGUGUGUUGAUAUUAUUAUUGUAUACAUCAGCA